RNAcentral lists this ribosomal RNA (253 nucleotides) under uncultured bacterium. RNAcentral's name for it is "partial 16S ribosomal RNA". It matches the Rfam family "Bacterial small subunit ribosomal RNA", at positions 524 to 776 of the family's 1533-position model. The record is from RNAcentral.
UACGUAGGGUGCGAGCGUUGUCCGGAAUUAUUGGGCGUAAAGGGCUCGUAGGCGGUUUGUCGCGUCGGGAGUGAAAACCUUGGGCUUAACUCAGGGCUUGCUUUCGAUACGGGCAGACUAGAGGUAUGCAGGGGAGAACGGAAUUCCCGGUGUAGCGGUGAAAUGCGCAGAUAUCGGGAGGAACACCGGUGGCGAAGGCGGUUCUCUGGGCCUGUACUGACGCUGAGGAGCGAAAGCGUGGGGAGCGAACAGG